Molecule: long non-coding RNA, 1050 nt
Organism: Mangifera indica (mango)
Lineage: Eukaryota; Viridiplantae; Streptophyta; Magnoliopsida; Sapindales; Anacardiaceae
Exons: 2
Source: RefSeq, a predicted model, not a curated record
UUUAAUUUCCUAUAAAUACCUCCCUUAAUCUACUAUUAAUUCUUAGGUCAACUCUCAUCAAUUUCAAUCUCUCGACUAUAAUUUCAAGUGAAACCAAUCUCUCUUUCUCAAUUUUUUAAAUUUUUUUCAAAUAUUUUGUCAAUUAUUAUAUGAUUUCUCAUAAUUCUUUGGCCACUAAAUAUUUUCAAAUUUAGUGGUAGGUUCUAUCUAAUUUUUAUUUUCGACUCCUAUACUUGAGAUUUAUCAGGCUGGUUCUAAUGUUCCUCUGUCAAAGAAGUAUCUAUUAGAGGGGACUGCUGGUACUAAUGCUGAAAGCAUCGGUUCAGAGAAGGAUGCAACUGAUGACUACUACUCAGACUCUGCAGGUAGGGGCUCUAAAUGGGUCAAGGUAAAUGAGAAAAUGAAUCUCUAUGAUGGCCUAAAUGAAGCAAAAUUCACCAUCCCUGGGAUCUUCUUGUUGGAGUCAAAUAUUCUUCUUCAUUAACAAAAAGAUCCUGUAUCUUCAAUAUUCCCUUUGCUCAUGGUUGCUCCAUGCUCCGCGGCAGAUCUUAGUCCUCUACUGGAUGGUGCGGCUAAUGCCACUGCUGCUGCUCAAUACAUCUGCGGCCAAUUUAAUGCCAUUUCAAGCAAGUUUGUUGACACAGUCGACCCCGUUUACAACAUCUACCUUGUCUUCUCUGCCUACCUUGUUUUCGUCAUGCAACAUGGCUUUGCGCAUGGUUGGCCGAGCCAAGAGCACAAUGAACAUCAUGCUCACCAGGUGGCCUUUUUUAAUAUCUCUUUGCUUUGCCUUUGCAUUUGGUAUUCCCUCCAAUGGUUUCAUGGCAAGCAUUUCUUCGGCCUCAACACCUCACCUUCAUUUGACUGUGCUUACUUCCUCUAUCAAUUAGUUGUGUGCAAUAAAUGAGCACGAAUGUCCGGCUGUUCUGACAAACGUGAUUCAUCUUUGUUUCAAUCUCCCACUGAUAGGGAAACAUGUAGCAGUGCCAAACAUUCGUUUAAACCGAGACAGUUAAUAAAUCACACAUAACUUCCAUGGUAGAACGCCAA